UUCGCAAUGCCCGAAAGGGUGACGAAGCGACGCCGCGUGCGGGAAGAAGGCCUUCGGGUUGUAAACCGCUGUCGGGAGUUAAGAAAUGCAAGGGUGUUAACAGCAUCCUUGCUUGACUAAGGCUCCGGAGGAAGCCACGGCUAACUCUGUGCCAGCAGCCGCGGUAAUACAGAGGCGGCAAGCGUUGUUCGGAAUUAUUGGGCGCAAAGAGCACGUAGGCGGCUGUGUAAGUCGGUUGUGAAAGCCUUCCGCUCAACGGGAGAACGGCAUCCGAUACUGCAUGGCUUGAGUGCGGGAGGGGAGAGUGGAACUUCUGGUGGAGCGGUGAAAUGCGAAGAUAUCAGAAGGAACACCGGCGGCGAAGGCGACUCUCUGGCCCGUAACUGACGCUGAGUGUGCGAAAGCUAGGGGAGCAAACGGGAUUAGAUACCCCGGUAGUCCUAACCGUAAACGAUGGGCACUAAGUAGAGGGGUUUU
RNAcentral lists this ribosomal RNA (477 nucleotides) under uncultured anaerobic ammonium-oxidizing bacterium. RNAcentral's name for it is "bacterial SSU rRNA". It matches the Rfam family "Bacterial small subunit ribosomal RNA", at positions 365 to 832 of the family's 1533-position model. The record is from RNAcentral.